Molecule: ribosomal RNA, 435 nt
Filed under: Triticum aestivum (bread wheat)
Lineage: Eukaryota; Viridiplantae; Streptophyta; Magnoliopsida; Poales; Poaceae
Description: partial small subunit ribosomal RNA
Source: RNAcentral
AUGCAUUGCUCCGCCGUGCUCUUGUUCCUCCUCGUCCUCCCCCGACCCCGUCCAGCCGCGGCCGUCGGCGCCUCCGCCCCCGCCCCCGCCCCCGCCCCCGGCAGGAGCAUGAGCAUCACGCCGUCCCCCCUCCUGCCGUGCCUGGAGGAGGUGCUGCCGUGCACGGCGUACCUCAAGUCGGCGGGGCGCCCCGCGCCGACGUGCUGCACCGCCCUGAGCCGCGCUGCGGCCACCGAGAUGCCGUGCAUCUGCCAGCUGCUCGCCGACCCGGGGAUGCUCGCCGACUUCAACGUCACCAGAGAGCAGGCGCUGGCGCUGCCCGCACGCUGCCGCCUCCCCGUCGGCUGCCGCGACAGCUCCGUCGGCACGCCCGACCCAGGUCAGUUCCCGCCGACGUGCGACGCGCGUCUCAGCCAUAAUUUGCAAGGAAUCUGA